Unclassified non-coding RNA from Papio anubis (olive baboon), 148 nucleotides. It matches the Rfam family "Metazoan signal recognition particle RNA". From Rfam's summary of the family: The signal recognition particle (SRP) is a universally conserved ribonucleoprotein. It is involved in the co-translational targeting of proteins to membranes. The record is from Ensembl. NCBI's taxonomy places the organism in Eukaryota, Metazoa, Chordata, Mammalia, Primates, Cercopithecidae.
GCCAGGCGUGGUGGCGCAUGCCUGUAAUCCCAGUUACUUGGGAGGCUGAGGCAGGAGAAUUGCUUGAGCCCAGGAGGCAGAGGUUGCAGUGAGCCGAGAUUAUGCCACUGCACUCCAGCCUAGACAACAAAGCAAGACUUCGUCUCAA